This 253-nucleotide ribosomal RNA is filed under the name uncultured bacterium. Its description in RNAcentral is "partial 16S ribosomal RNA". It matches the Rfam family "Bacterial small subunit ribosomal RNA", at positions 524 to 776 of the family's 1533-position model. The record is from RNAcentral.
UACAGAGGACUCAACCGUUGUUCGGAUUCAUUGGGCGCAAAGGGUGCGUAGGCGGUCGUGUAAGUCGGAUGUGAAAUCCCGGGGCUCAACCCCGGAACUGCAUUCGAUACUGCAUGGCUAGGGUACUGGAGAGGAAACUGGAAUUUACGGUGUAGCAGUGAAAUGCGUAGAUAUCGUAAGGAAGACCAGUGGCGAAGGCGAGUUUCUGGACAGUUACCGACGCUGAGGCACGAAGGCCAGGGGAGCAAACGGG